This 755-nucleotide ribosomal RNA is filed under the name uncultured bacterium. Its description in RNAcentral is "bacterial SSU rRNA". It matches the Rfam family "Bacterial small subunit ribosomal RNA", at positions 28 to 776 of the family's 1533-position model. The record is from RNAcentral.
AUUGAACGCUGGCGGCAGGCUUAACACAUGCAAGUCGAGCGGUAACAGGAGAAGCUUGCUUCUCGCUGACGAGCGGCGGACGGGUGAGUAAUACUUAGGAAUCUACCUAGUAGUGGGGGAUAGCACGGGGAAACUCGUAUUAAUACCGCAUACGACCUACGGGAGAAAGGGGGCAGUUUACUGCUCUCGCUAUUAGAUGAGCCUAAGUCGGAUUAGCUAGAUGGUGGGGUAAAGGCCUACCAUGGCGACGAUCUGUAGCUGGUCUGAGAGGAUGAUCAGCCACACCGGGACUGAGACACGGCCCGGACUCCUACGGGAGGCAGCAGUGGGGAAUAUUGGACAAUGGGGGAAACCCUGAUCCAGCCAUGCCGCGUGUGUGAAGAAGGCCUUUUGGUUGUAAAGCACUUUAAGCAGUGAAGAAGACUCCAUGGUUAAUACCCAUGGACGAUGACAUUAGCUGCAGAAUAAGCACCGGCUAACUCUGUGCCAGCAGCCGCGGUAAUACAGAGGGUGCAAGCGUUAAUCGGAAUUACUGGGCGUAAAGGGAGCGUAGGUGGCUCUAUAAGUCAGAUGUGAAAUCCCCGGGCUUAACCUGGGAACUGCAUCUGAAACUGUAGAGCUAGAGUAUGUGAGAGGAAGGUAGAAUUCCAGGCGUAGCGGUGAAAUGCGUAGAGAUCUGGAGGAAUACCGAUGGCGAAGGCAGCCUUCUGGCAUAAUACUGACACUGAGGCUCGAAAGCGUGGGUAGCAAACAGG